GACAGAGGGUGCAACCGUUGUUCGGAAUUACUGGGCGUAAAGCGAGUGUAGGCGGUCCGAAAAGUCAGGUGUGAAAGCCCUGGGCUCAACCCAGGAAGUGCACUUGAAACUGCCGGGCUAGAGUACUGGAGAGGUUGGUGGAAUUCUCGGUGUAGAGGUGAAAUUCGUAGAUAUCGAGAGGAACACCGGUGGCGAAGGCGGCCAACUGGACAGAUACUGACGCUGAGACUCGAAAGCGUGAGGAGCAAACAGG
This 253-nucleotide ribosomal RNA is filed under the name uncultured bacterium. Its description in RNAcentral is "partial 16S ribosomal RNA". It matches the Rfam family "Bacterial small subunit ribosomal RNA", at positions 524 to 776 of the family's 1533-position model. The record is from RNAcentral.